RNAcentral lists this ribosomal RNA (535 nucleotides) under uncultured bacterium. Its description in RNAcentral is "bacterial SSU rRNA". It matches the Rfam family "Bacterial small subunit ribosomal RNA", at positions 10 to 518 of the family's 1533-position model. The record is from RNAcentral.
AGUUGAUCCUGGCUUAGGACGAACGCUGGCGGCGUGCCUAAUACACGCAAGUCGAACGGCUUUUCUAUGGAAGCUUGCUUCCACUGAGAAGAUAGUGGCGAACGGGUGAGUAACACGUGGGUAACCUGCCCAUAAGAGGGGGGAUAACAUCCGGAAACGGGUGCUAAUACCGCAUAGUUUUCUUGAUCGCAUGAUCGGGAAAGGAAAGACGGCCUUUGUGCUGUCGCUUAUGGAUGGACCCGCGGCGUAUUAGUUAGUUGGUGAGGUAACGGCUCACCAAGACGAUGAUACGUAGCCGACCUGAGAGGGUGAUCGGCCACAUUGGGACUGAGACACGGCCCAAACUCCUACGGGAGGCAGCAGUAGGGAAUCUUCCGCAAUGGACGAAAGUCUGACGGAGCAACGCCGCGUGAGUGAAAGAAGGUUUUCGGAUCGUAAAACUCUGUUGUCAGAGAAGAACAAGUUGGAGAGUAACUGCUCCAGCCUUGACGGUAUCUGACCAGAAAGCCACGGCUAACUACGUGCCAGCCGCCGC